AAUCAACGCUGGCGGCGUGCCUAACACAUGCAAGUCGCACGAGAAAGGGACUUCGGUCCUGAGUACAGUGGCGCACGGGUGAGUAACACGUGAAUCAUCUACCUUCGAGUGGGGAAUAACUGAGAGAAAUCUUAGCUAAUACCGCAUAAUACCUACGGGUCAAAGCAGCAAUGCGCUUGAAGAGGAGUUCGCGGCAGAUUAGUUAGUUGGCAGGGUAAGGCCUACCAAGACGAUGAUCUGUAUCCGGCCUGAGAGGGCGCACGGACACACUGGAACUGAAACACGGUCCAGACUCCUACGGGAGGCAGCAGUGGGGAAUUUUGCGCAAUGGGGGAAACCCUGACGCAGCAACGCCGCGUGGAGGAUGAAAUCCCUUGGGAUGUAAACUCCUUUCGAUCGGGAAGAUAAUGACGGUACCGAGAGAAGAA
This 428-nucleotide ribosomal RNA is filed under the name uncultured bacterium. RNAcentral's name for it is "bacterial SSU rRNA". It matches the Rfam family "Bacterial small subunit ribosomal RNA", at positions 32 to 489 of the family's 1533-position model. The record is from RNAcentral.